UAUGUAGGGGGCAAGCGUUGUCCGGAUUUAUUGGGCGUAAAGAGCUCGUAGGCGGCUCAGUAAGUCGGGUGUGAAACCUCCAGGCUCAACCUGGAGACGCCACCCGAUACUGCUGUGGCUAGAGUCCAGUAGGGGAGUGUGGAAUUCCCGGUGUAGCGGUGAAAUGCGCAGAUAUCGGGAGGAACACCAGCGGCGAAGGCGGCUCUCUGGGACGGUACUGACGCUGAGACGCGAAAGCGUGGGGAGCGAACAGG
RNAcentral lists this ribosomal RNA (254 nucleotides) under uncultured bacterium. Its description in RNAcentral is "partial 16S ribosomal RNA". It matches the Rfam family "Bacterial small subunit ribosomal RNA", at positions 524 to 776 of the family's 1533-position model. The record is from RNAcentral.